Molecule: ribosomal RNA, 253 nt
Filed under: uncultured bacterium
Lineage: Bacteria
Description: partial 16S ribosomal RNA
Rfam family: Bacterial small subunit ribosomal RNA
Source: RNAcentral
UACGAAGGGGGCUAGCGUUGCUCGGAAUCACUGGGCGUAAAGGGCGCGUAGGCGGCUUAUCAAGUCGGGGGUGAAAUACUUCAGCUUAACUGGAGAAGUGCCUUCGAUACUGGUGGGCUUGAGGGAGGUAGGGGUCUGUGGAACUUCUGGUGGAGCGGUGAAAUGCGUUGAUAUCAGAAGGAACGCCGGUGGCGAAAGCGACGGACUGGACCUCUUCUGACGCUGAGGCGCGAAAGCUAGGGGAGCAAACGGG